RNAcentral lists this ribosomal RNA (265 nucleotides) under uncultured bacterium. RNAcentral's name for it is "partial 16S ribosomal RNA". It matches the Rfam family "Bacterial small subunit ribosomal RNA", at positions 793 to 1055 of the family's 1533-position model. The record is from RNAcentral.
GUCCACGCCAUAAACGAUGAAUACUAGGUGUUGGAGGAUUUAAACCCUUCGGUACCGAAGCUAACGCGCUAAGUAUUCCGCCUGGGGAGUACGACCGCAAGGUUAAAACUCAAAGGAAUUGACGGGGGCCCGCACAAGCAGCGGAGCGUGUGGUUUAAUUCGAUGCAACGCGAAAAACCUUACCUGGAUUUGACGUGUCCGUAGUAGUGAAGCGAAAGCGGAACGACCCUUCGGGGAGCGGAUGCAGGUGCUGCAUGGCUGUCGU